Molecule: ribosomal RNA, 266 nt
Filed under: uncultured bacterium
Lineage: Bacteria
Description: partial 16S ribosomal RNA
Rfam family: Bacterial small subunit ribosomal RNA
Source: RNAcentral
GUCCUAGCCCUAAACGGUGCGCGUUUGCUGUGGGAGGAAUCGACCCCUUCCGUGGCGAAGCUAACGCGAUAAACGCGCCGCCUGGGGAGUACGGUCGCAAGAUUAAAACUCAAAGAAAUUGACGGGGCCUGCACAAGCGGUGGAGUAUGUGGCUUAAUUCGAUGCAACGCGAAGAACCUUACCUGGCCUUGACAUGCAUUUGGUAGAACCAUGAAAGUGGGACGACCCCGCAAGGGGAGGAUGCACAGGUGCUGCAUGGCUGUCGU